Molecule: transfer RNA, 79 nt
Filed under: Paraburkholderia hiiakae
Lineage: Bacteria; Pseudomonadati; Pseudomonadota; Betaproteobacteria; Burkholderiales; Burkholderiaceae
Description: tRNA-Ser
Source: RNAcentral
CGGCGCGCUAGCCGGGCAACAAGGCGCGGCGUUCGAGUCGAUGCGCAAGCAUCUUGCGCUCGGUCGCGAGGCGCUGUCC